Molecule: ribosomal RNA, 254 nt
Filed under: uncultured bacterium
Lineage: Bacteria
Description: partial 16S ribosomal RNA
Rfam family: Archaeal small subunit ribosomal RNA
Source: RNAcentral
CCCAGGAGCCACAAGUGGCAACCACUAUUAUUGGGCCUAAAGCGUCCGUAGCCUGUCAAGUAAAUUUUCUGUGAAAUCGUUAGGCUUAACUUAACGGAAUGCAGAAAAGACUACUAGACUAGGGACCGGAAGGCGUCAGAGGUAUUCCUGAGGGAGCGGUAAAAUGCUAUAAUCUUAGGAGGACCCCCUGUGGCGAAGGCGUCUGACGAGAACGGAUCCGACGGUGAGGGACGAAAGCCAGGGGAGCGAACCGG